This 56-nucleotide transfer RNA is filed under the name Dilophotes sp. U LB-2014. RNAcentral describes it as "tRNA-Leu". Lineage: Eukaryota; Metazoa; Arthropoda; Insecta; Coleoptera; Lycidae. The record is from RNAcentral.
UGUGGCAGAAUAGUGCAAUAAAUUUAAGAUUUAUAAAUAAAGUAACCUUUCCUUAG